Molecule: ribosomal RNA, 384 nt
Filed under: uncultured bacterium
Lineage: Bacteria
Description: bacterial SSU rRNA
Rfam family: Bacterial small subunit ribosomal RNA
Source: RNAcentral
GACGAACGCUAGCGGCGUGCCUAAUGUAUGCAAGUCGAACGGCCCGCAAGGGUAGUGGCGAACGGUUGAGUAACACGUAGACAACCUACCCGGCGAGGGGAGUACCCGCCAGAAACGGACGGCUAAUACCGCGUACGGUCGUCUGACGAGGGGUUGGGACGAAGAAAGCAGUGAUGCGCGCUGGGAGGGGUCUGCGGCCGAUUAGCUGGUUGGUGGGGUAGUGGCCCACCAAGGCGAUGAUCGGUAGCUGGCUGAGAGGAUGAUCAGCCACACGGGGACUGAGACACGGCCCCGACUCCUACGGGAGGCAGCAGCAAGGAAUUUUCCGUCAAUGGGGGCAACCCUGACGGAGCAACGCCGCGUGACGGAUGACGCCUCUUGGGG